GUGGUUUCAUCUUGCGAAUCUUAGUCGGACCCUUUCACCUAUCGGCUCUUAUAGAUGUCCUUUCGCCUGCGAAGCUCCUCUAAAACUCGGGCCCUGAAUGAGGUCCAGUCCUCAUCCUGGUUUUGUUGGAUACCAAGAGCCCGGUGAAGAUCCUGAGAAUGGCUCCUCAAGAAUGGAUUGUAUUGCUUCUCUUCUUCCAGUGUAGAUGGACUCUAGGUUUAAAAUAAAUGGACCCACUGUAGCUUCCGGUCCUGUGCCAUGUUACCUGGCUCCAACUCCACAGCAAACAUCAGCUUCAGAACAGUGGGAUAACCUGGAGCAGCGUGAGCUAUUGUUGUGUCAUGGUGACAGAUAAAACAGUGAAGUAGUAAAGGUGAUGUAGAUUACCAGGCCAGAGCAACGUGUCGUCAUUCA
Molecule: long non-coding RNA, 414 nt
Organism: Trichomycterus rosablanca
Lineage: Eukaryota; Metazoa; Chordata; Actinopteri; Siluriformes; Trichomycteridae
Exons: 3
Source: RefSeq, a predicted model, not a curated record